GUCUCUGUGGCAUAAUUGGUUAGUGCAUUUGGCUGUUAACUGAAAGGUUGGUGGUUCAAAUCCGCCCAGGGGCG
Non-coding RNA from Rhincodon typus (whale shark), 74 nucleotides. The record is from the annotation of a RefSeq genome assembly. NCBI's taxonomy places the organism in Eukaryota, Metazoa, Chordata, Chondrichthyes, Orectolobiformes, Rhincodontidae.